GUGCCAGCAGCCGCGGUAAUACAGAGGGUGCAAGCGUUAAUCGGAAUUACUGGGCGUAAAGCGCGCGUAGGUGGUUCGUUAAGUUGGAUGUGAAAUCCCCGGGCUCAACCUGGGAACUGCAUUCAAAACUGACGAGCUAGAGUAUGGUAGAGGGUGGUGGAAUUUCCUGUGUAGCGGUGAAAUGCGUAGAUAUAGGAAGGAACACCAGUGGCGAAGGCGACCACCUGGACUGAUACUGACACUGAGGUGCGAAAGCGUGGGGAGCAAACAGGAUUAGAAACCCUGGUAGUCC
RNAcentral lists this ribosomal RNA (292 nucleotides) under uncultured prokaryote. RNAcentral describes it as "partial 16S ribosomal RNA". It matches the Rfam family "Bacterial small subunit ribosomal RNA", at positions 505 to 796 of the family's 1533-position model. The record is from RNAcentral.